This 1103-nucleotide ribosomal RNA is filed under the name Vibrio vulnificus. RNAcentral's name for it is "partial 23S ribosomal RNA". It matches the Rfam family "Bacterial large subunit ribosomal RNA", at positions 414 to 1526 of the family's 2925-position model. The record is from RNAcentral. Lineage: Bacteria; Pseudomonadati; Pseudomonadota; Gammaproteobacteria; Vibrionales; Vibrionaceae.
AGGGCGGGACACGUGUUAUCCUGUCUGAAUAUGGGGGGACCAUCCUCCAAGGCUAAAUACUCCUGACUGACCGAUAGUGAACCAGUACCGUGAGGGAAAGGCGAAAAGAACCCCUGUGAGGGGAGUGAAAUAGAACCUGAAACCGUGUACGUACAAGCAGUAGGAGCACCUUCGUGGUGUGACUGCGUACCUUUUGUAUAAUGGGUCAGCGACUUAUAUUCAGUGGCAAGGUUAACCAUCUAGGGGAGCCGUAGGGAAACCGAGUCUUAACUGGGCGCCAUAGUCUCUGGAUAUAGACCCGAAACCGAGUGAUCUAGCCAUGGGCAGGUUGAAGGUUGAGUAACAUCAACUGGAGGACCGAACCGACUAAUGUUGAAAAAUUAGCGGAUGACUUGUGGCUAGGGGUGAAAGGCCAAUCAAACUCGGAGAUAGCUGGUUCUCCCCGAAAGCUAUUUAGGUAGCGCCUCGGACGAAUACUACUGGGGGUAGAGCACUGUUAAGGCUAGGGGGUCAUCCCGACUUACCAACCCUUUGCAAACUCCGAAUACCAGUAAGUACUAUCCGGGAGACACACGGCGGGUGCUAACGUCCGUCGUGGAGAGGGAAACAACCCAGACCGCCAGCUAAGGUCCCAAAUUACAGCUAAGUGGGAAACGAUGUGGGAAGGCUUAGACAGCUAGGAUGUUGGCUUAGAAGCAGCCAUCAUUUAAAGAAAGCGUAAUAGCUCACUAGUCGAGUCGGCCUGCGCGGAAGAUGUAACGGGGCUAAGUUGUAAACCGAAGCUGCGGCAAUAUCUUUUAGAUAUUGGGUAGGGGAGCGUUCUGUAAGCCGUUGAAGGUGUGUUGUAAAGCAUGCUGGAGGUAUCAGAAGUGCGAAUGCUGACAUGAGUAACGACAAGGGGGGUGAAAAACCUCCCCGCCGGAAGACCAAGGGUUCCUGUCCAACGUUAAUCGGGGCAGGGUAAGUCGACCCCUAAGGCGAGGCCGAAAGGCGUAGUCGAUGGGAAACGGGUUAAUAUUCCCGUACUUCUUACAAUUGCGAUGGGGGGACGGAGAAGGCUAGGUGGGCCUGGCGACGGUUGUCCAGGUUCAAGUGCGUAGGCU